This 253-nucleotide ribosomal RNA is filed under the name uncultured bacterium. Its description in RNAcentral is "partial 16S ribosomal RNA". It matches the Rfam family "Bacterial small subunit ribosomal RNA", at positions 524 to 776 of the family's 1533-position model. The record is from RNAcentral.
UACGUAGGUGGCAAGCGUUGUCCGGAAUUAUUGGGCGUAAAGCGCGCGCAGGCGGUCCUUUAAGUCUGAUGUGAAAGCCCACGGCUCAACCGUGGAGGGUCAUUGGAAACUGGGGGACUUGAGUACAGAAGAGAAGAGUGGAAUUCCACGUGUAGCGGUGAAAUGCGUAGAGAUGUGGAGGAACACCAGUGGCGAAGGCGACUCUUUGGUCUGUAACCGACGCUGAGGCGCGAAAGCGUGGGGAGCGAACGGG